AUGGCUUCAUCCGGUUCCAUGACGAGGCCACCGUGUGCUAACCAAGAAGACAUGCCGAACAAGUGGGAGGUCGCAUCUUUGGACAAGGUGAAGGAGAAAGAUGUCAACAUCCCGCAAUGUUGGUGUGCAGAUGUUUGCAAGGUGAAGGUGUCCACCGACCGAAAGAAAGCAUGGACGGAAGGGCGGAGAUAUUUUGUAUGCCCGAACUAUGCUUAUGAUCGUGCACUUCCAACUAAUGCCUAUGACCAACCACCGGUAAGCUCGAGAAGUAAAAUGUUACUCUGA
This 285-nucleotide ribosomal RNA is filed under the name Triticum aestivum (bread wheat). RNAcentral's name for it is "partial small subunit ribosomal RNA". Lineage: Eukaryota; Viridiplantae; Streptophyta; Magnoliopsida; Poales; Poaceae. The record is from RNAcentral.